RNAcentral lists this long non-coding RNA (370 nucleotides) under Ananas comosus (pineapple). RNAcentral's name for it is "long non-coding RNA (ACOM_LNC015511)". The record is from RNAcentral. Lineage: Eukaryota; Viridiplantae; Streptophyta; Magnoliopsida; Poales; Bromeliaceae.
UAAAUAUCUGUUUUUUUACAUUAACUCUUUGGCUUUUAAAAACUUAUAUUUUGUGUCCUUAAAAUUUUAAAAUAUUUUCAAAGGGUUGCGGCGUAGAUGACAAAAUGACCAAAUUAUCUUUAUUUUGAAAGGCAUUUUCAGUAUAAAUUAUAAGAAAUAAAUGGAAUAGUAAUGAAAUCCUGAAGGAGGGGGGCUUAAUAUAACAAUUUAAAAUAUUAAGGGGGUAAAAUAUAUGUUUUUGAAAAUUAUGGAGGAAAAGUGAAAAAGGCGAAUAUUUAUAAAUCGGUUUCUGUAACUUAGCCUAUUUUAAAUUAAUCAAAUUACAAUAAUUGACCACACACUUAAUAAAGAAUAAAAAAAUAUUCUAUAA